Molecule: non-coding RNA, 35 nt
Filed under: Trypanosoma brucei brucei
Lineage: Eukaryota; Euglenozoa; Kinetoplastea; Trypanosomatida; Trypanosomatidae
Source: RNAcentral
AUAAAACCACAGUCAACGAGUAAGAGAGUAUUAAU